Cucumis melo (muskmelon) is the source of this 2921-nucleotide long non-coding RNA. RefSeq lists it as uncharacterized. The transcript has 2 exons. The record is from RefSeq and is a predicted model, not a curated record. NCBI's taxonomy places the organism in Eukaryota, Viridiplantae, Streptophyta, Magnoliopsida, Cucurbitales, Cucurbitaceae.
UGUUGUUUUCAAAAUCUAGUAUAUUUUGAACUUAAAAUCUCAAUUUUUUUAAGCCUAUGAAGUAAGGUAGAACAAAAAGUUAUUUCAUUUGUGGGUGGAGAAGAUGAUAAGCAAACAUCACAAAGAAGAAACAAAAACCAUUUUUUAUACACUCCCCAUUUGUCAUUCGCGCAUUUUCAGAAGUUAUUGCAGUUCUUCUCUACGUGCAUGAAGCUACAGACUGAAUGGAGGAAAAGACUGAAGUUGGAAGAAUCAUAACUGGAGAAAGGGACUGGAAAAAAUUUCCUCCUCACCCUGGCUUUAUCUAUAUAACUUGUCAUGACUGGUUGAUGCUGACUCAGCUCUCCGAUGGUGAGUUAGGGGGGAUUUUUUCAAGUUCUCUGAAUUUGGGGUAAUGAUUAUUGACCUGUAGUUCUGUAAGCAUUCGACGAAGUUCUGAAGUCUGCUCUUUGAGUUGAACAUUUUCUUGAACAACCUUGUCAUGACAGUCUGACACUUGAUUCAGCUUAUCAAUAAGCUGAUGGUUCUCAUUCCUUAGCCAAAGCACUUGAGACCAUAGCUCAUCCAAGUGCUUCUGUUUUCGCAUACGUGACCGUCGUGCGGACUCUCUAUUCGAUAUCAUCCUUCUCUGCUUCCUCUCAUUGAUAAGGCUUUGCUGUUGCUCAUCUGCUUCAUCAGAAGUUGAAUUGCUACUCAAACAUGGCUGUCUAUUAAAAUCAUGAACUUGAGAAGGACCUUGGAAAUUAUAUAAAGGAUUAGAGAAUUCAUUAAGUUGCAUUGUAGGUAAGUUGUUCUGUGCCAUGGGAAAGUGAGUAGCAUAUGGGGAUAAAUUGGAGGGGAUGAGAUAUUGGAGACUUGUGACUUCACCAGGCUGCAUUUUCAAGGUCUUGUUGAAAGCUUUACUGGAUCUUGGAAGAGAAGAAGACAGUGUUUAGGGAAAAUGGGAAGUUUGGUGGUGAAGGUGCUUUAUAGCAAGUAAAAGGUUUCAUUGGCCCACUCUUGGGAUCAUGGAGUGAUUUUGAGAAAGCUUUUCAGAGGUUGAAUCACUUGAAUAUCAUGCAGAUCUUGUCCAUGUCCUGUUAUGGCACAGCUGCUUUGCUUUCAUGUCAUGAGAUCGACCAGGUACUCUACUAUAUCUUGUACCUUCCUUCCUUCCUGCUUCGACUACUUCAUGUCUAUUAGUAUGUGUUUGUGAUAUAAGCAUGAUUCACACAUAUAUAUACACACACACACGAGACUUGAUUAUGUUUCUGAAUAAUUUUUCACAUCAUAUCUUGAUUACAUCGAGGGCAUACAUAUUGUGGGAGGUAUAAUUAUUGUUAUGGUAGAAUGAUUAGAAAAGUAUCUCUACUAGACAAUUCAAUCUAGUGACGUAAGCAAAAAGAAAAUGGACAAGGCAAGCAAAGCCUUCUUUCACAUCCCUAUUCAUCAACUUUCAUAGGGUAGAGCUCAAAAAGAAACUAUAAUACCCAAUAGUGUUCAAUAUUUAAAUUUCAUUUUAAAAUAAUCAGCUCCAAUAACUUGACCCGGAAUCUUUAUUUAUUUAUUUAUUUUUAUAGAAACAACUGCUUUUAUGGAGGGGAAAAAAAAAAGAAUACAAGGAAAACAAAAAACAAGUUUGUAAGUUCCCUUUAUAGAGAGGGUUUCCAACCAAGUAAGAUACUACCUAAAGGAUAAUUACAAAGGUCUUUGAUACCGAAACCCAAACAGAAACAUCGAAUCUUGCCAAGAACCUAAUAGAGAAACUAUGACCAACCUCCCAUUAGUGCUAUGAGUGAGAUUGAACUAAUCAUAACACAAAAGGGAGGUUAUAUUACAGGUACGUCUCUUUCUUCUUGGUGUCUGAAUUGUACAGGUACUGAUACCAAUUAUCUUAAUAUAAUUCUACGUCUACCAUUUUAACCUUUUCUUUCAUCAAUUCAUGAGUUCUGGGAUAAGACUGUAAGAAUACAAAAUUGUCCCUGAUGCAAAUCUCUUGGCAGAUACUUUUUCUCCCUUCAGGUUUAUUUUGGUUAUAUUAGUGCAAUUUGAUCCAAUCAUUUACACUUAUCCUAGAAAUUUCAGAGCAAUAAUUAAAGAUAAUGGCUACAAUUUUAAAUGCAUACUCAACCUUCUCCCACCUUCCCACAAAAAGAUAGAAAAGGAGAAAGAAAAAGAGGGAGGAUAUCACUACAAAGGCAGAAGUAGCUGAAAAAACUUCAAUUUUUUUUCAAGGCACUAUCAUAUUAUAUUGUAUUCUUGUAAAGUUAUAAAUUAAGUUUUGUAAAGAUAGAUAAGCCCACGCUUAUUUAUUGCAUCACUUGAAAUGGACUACAUUUAAAAACACUGCUGAGAGAAACAGAGUACUCAAAUCUUUUAUUGGUGGCCUCAUCUUGUCUCAUAUUUCUCUUUAAACAAUUAUAAAAAAGGUCUAUAUUUUCUAACCACUACUUUCUUACCAAGUCCCUAUAUAUAUUUGUUUAGCACAAUGAAGACAAUUGUGACCUCAACAUGAAGACAAAAUUUAAAAGUUGAGGUGAAAGGAGGCACUUUUCUAUAAUUAAGAUCUUUAGUUUCUUUAUACAUAGAGAAACUAUACAAUCAUACUCUCUGAUUGCAUGAAAGAUCUUGUCUAAAUAUUUAGGAAAAUUAACAUGAUAUACGAAUUCCCACGGUUGAUGAAGAUCUAGAUUCUAGACGCAGUAGAAAACUUCAAUGUGAUCUCACAUCUUAAGUAUUUGAAUACCUUGAAUCUAUUAUUUGGCUCUCCCAACAAUCAAGUGCGAGGGGCUCGCAAUUCAUAGUAUUUCUGUAUUUGUCCAUUUACGUUUUUUUACCUUAGGGUUUAGAGAAGUGUGUUAUACAAACUCUCUAACCUAAAGGCUUCUUUGUUUUAUAUUCUUGAUUUUCUCUUUAAUAAUGCAUUAUUAGUGAACCACUUA